RNAcentral lists this ribosomal RNA (460 nucleotides) under uncultured bacterium. Its description in RNAcentral is "partial 16S ribosomal RNA". It matches the Rfam family "Bacterial small subunit ribosomal RNA", at positions 338 to 795 of the family's 1533-position model. The record is from RNAcentral.
CCUACGGGAGGCAGCAGUGAGGAAUAUUGGUCAAUGGGCGUAAGCCUGAACCAGCCAAGUCGCGUGAGGGAUGAAGGUUCUAUGGAUCGUAAACCUCUUUUAUAAGGGAAUAAAGUGUGGGACGUGUCCUAUUUUGUCUGUACCUUAUGAAUAAGGAUCGGCUAACGCCGUGCCAGCAGCCGCGGUAAUACGGGGGAUCCGAGCGUUAUCCGGAUUUAUUGGGUUGAAAGGGUGCGUAGGCGGUCUUUUAAGUCAGCGGUGAAAGUCUGUGGCUCAACCAUAGAAUUGCCGUUGAAACUGGGGGGCUUGAGUAUGUUUGAGGCAGGCGGAAUGCGUGGUGUAGCGGUGAAAUGCUUAGAUAUCACGAAGAACCCCGAUUGCGAAGGCAGCCUGCCAAGCCAUGACUGACGCUGAUGCACGAAAGCGUGGGGAUCAAACAGGAUUAGAUACCCCAGUAGUC